CAGGUGGCAGUGCUGGCCACCGCUGCCGGUCUCUUGCCGCUCGACUCCUCCAAUCUCUCCCGCCGGUGUCGCUGAAGCUCGGAGGAGCCAACUGCAGAUCUGAGCGUUGCCUUGCCUCCCAUCUCCUUCAGUUGCUCCUUGUCUCACACGUGACGGGGUUGUUUCUCUAUAAUGGAUGUGCCGCCUGAAAAUAAUCAAGCCAACAGGCCUUUGUGGAACUAUGUGGACAUUUUAGAGUCAAGUGUAGGAGCUGGAGGAAAUGUGUGAUUCAGAUGCAAGUUUUGUACACAUGAAUACAAUAGAACCUAUGCGCGAGUUAAAUCACAUUUGCUAAAGAUGUCAUGUAGAGGGAUCAGAACGUGUCCAAGUGUGACAAAUUCUACUCUUAGACAACUCAAAAAUGAAGUUGCAGCCGCCGAAGAACAUUAGGAGACAGUGGAUUUUCAGGUUUCUAUCAUUGUAUCAAGUUACUAGAAUUUCUUGAGUUAUU
This is a long non-coding RNA of Lolium rigidum, 490 nucleotides long. RefSeq lists it as uncharacterized. The record is from RefSeq and is a predicted model, not a curated record. NCBI's taxonomy places the organism in Eukaryota, Viridiplantae, Streptophyta, Magnoliopsida, Poales, Poaceae. The transcript has 3 exons.